ACGGCGGACGGGUGAGUAACACGUGGAUAACCUACCUAUAAGACUGGGAUAACUUCGGGAAACCGGAGCUAAUACCGGAUAAUAUAUUGAACCGCAUGGUUCAAUAGUGAAAGACGGUUUUGCUGUCACUUAUAGAUGGAUCCGCGCCGCAUUAGCUAGUUGGUAAGGUAACGGCUUACCAAGGCGACGAUGCGUAGCCGACCUGAGAGGGUGAUCGGCCACACUGGAACUGAGACACGGUCCAGACUCCUACGGGAGGCAGCAGUAGGGAAUCUUCCGCAAUGGGCGAAAGCCUGACGGAGCAACGCCGCGUGAGUGAUGAAGGUCUUCGGAUCGUAAAACUCUGUUAUUAGGGAAGAACAAAUGUGUAAGUAACUAUGCACGUCUUGACGGUACCUAAUCAGAAAGCCACGGCUAACUACGUGCCAGCAGCCGCGGUAAUACGUAGGUGGCAAGCGUUAUCCGGAAUUAUUGGGCGUAAAGCGCGCGUAGGCGGUUUUUUAAGUCUGAUGUGAAAGCCCACGGCUAAACCGUGGAGGGUCAUUGGAAACUGGAAAACUUGAGUGCAGAAGAGGAAAGUGGAAUUCCAUGUGUAGCGGUGAAAUGCGCAGAGAUAUGGAGGAACACCAGUGGCGAAGGCGACUUUCUGGUCUGUAACUGACGCUGAUGUGCGAAAGCGUGGGGAUCAAACAGGAUUAGAUACCCUGGUAGUCCACGCCGUAAACGAUGAGUGCUAAGUGUUAGGGG
RNAcentral lists this ribosomal RNA (747 nucleotides) under uncultured Staphylococcus sp. Its description in RNAcentral is "SSU rRNA". It matches the Rfam family "Bacterial small subunit ribosomal RNA", at positions 95 to 829 of the family's 1533-position model. The record is from RNAcentral. Lineage: Bacteria; Bacillati; Bacillota; Bacilli; Caryophanales; Staphylococcaceae.